AUUAGAUCUUUUUGUGUUUGUUUCUCUCUCUCUCUCUCUCAUGCGUCAUUACUUUCUUCUUCUUCUUCUUUCUUUCUUUGUCUAUCCGUCUCUCUCUCAGAAACAAACAACGACGAGAUUCAAGACCAAGGUUUGGAUCUGAAGAAGCAUGGCUCUCAUCACCGACGCCGGAUCGAAGAAGCAUAUCUCGAUACGAGAAGAUAAAUGGCUCACGAUUCAACUUCCGUUUCUCGCAAGCUCAUUUGGCUGACAACGAAGCCCAGAGAUGAGCCGUUUUGAUUAGGGCGAGAUAAGCUUCUCCGUCGUUUUCUCAGAUCCGUCUUCACCGGAAUAUAUCUUCACCAGAGUCUCUACCAUCACCACCACCACGGAAGGUGGACAAGGAAGAAGAGCUUGAUGGAGUAGGAGGGUAGCAGAAGCGGUGGGUCGUUAGCUGAAGGUACAUUAGCUGGAGUUGGAGUCUAGCGAGAGAGAAGAGAGGAGCUGGAGUUUGUUCAGAGACGAGGGAGGAGAGAUAGAUGAGAAGCACUAGAGAUGAGCUUGAUGGUGGCAGAAGAGAAGAGCUUGAUGGAUAUAGUUCAGAGGCAAUGUUAAGGUUUGCUGGUGGCUGUUCAAAGACGAUGAAGUAGAAGAAGAAGAAAUCGAUGGAGUUGAAGUUGACGGCAAAGAGUUUAGCUGUAGGGUUAAUUUUGUUUUUCGGUUAAGCUUUUUAGGUUUAGAUUUCUAGGUGGUGGUGCGGCAGAGAAGAUUGGUGGUCAAGGCGAUAGCUUGAGUAGGUGGAAGACAACGAGGACGUAGGUUAAUGACGUUUAGGAUUGAUUAGUUUUUUAAUUAGUUUUUGUUGUAAUUAAGGUUUAAUUUUUUUUAUUAAUUUGUUUUAAAUCUGUAAACUGAUUUUAAUUGUAAAACAAUCUAAUUGUAAACCAGUUUAAUUUAUAAAUAAAAUUCUAAAACAGUUUUAAUUUC
Raphanus sativus (radish) is the source of this 966-nucleotide long non-coding RNA. RefSeq lists it as uncharacterized. NCBI's taxonomy places the organism in Eukaryota, Viridiplantae, Streptophyta, Magnoliopsida, Brassicales, Brassicaceae. The transcript is spliced from 2 exons. The record is from RefSeq and is a predicted model, not a curated record.